RNAcentral lists this ribosomal RNA (491 nucleotides) under uncultured bacterium. RNAcentral describes it as "partial 16S ribosomal RNA". It matches the Rfam family "Bacterial small subunit ribosomal RNA", at positions 29 to 506 of the family's 1533-position model. The record is from RNAcentral.
AGUGAACGCUGGCGGUAGGCCUAACACAUGCAAGUCGAACGGCAGCACAGUAAGAGCUUGCUCUUACGGGUGGCGAGUGGCGGACGGGUGGGGAAUACAUCGGAAUCUACUUUUUCGUGGGGGAUAACGUAGGGAAACUUACGCUAAUACCGCAUACGACCUACGGGUGAAAGCAGGGGAUCUUCGGACCUUGCGCGAUUGAAUGAGCCGAUGUCGGAUUAGCUAGUUGGCGGGGUAAAGGCCCACCAAGGCGACGAUCCGUAGCUGGUCUGAGAGGAUGAUCAGCAACACUGGAACUGAGACACGGUCCAGACCCCUACGGGGGGCAGCAGUGGGAAAAUUGGGACAAUGGGCGCAAGCCUAACCCAGCCAUACCGCGGGGGUGAAGAAGGCCUUCGGGUGGUAAAGCCCUUUCGUUGGGAAAGAAAAGCAGCAGGUAAAUCCCCCGCGGUCCUGACGGUACCCAAAGAAUAAGCACCGGCAAACUUCUU